This 472-nucleotide ribosomal RNA is filed under the name uncultured Sphingomonas sp. Its description in RNAcentral is "bacterial SSU rRNA". It matches the Rfam family "Bacterial small subunit ribosomal RNA", at positions 1 to 525 of the family's 1533-position model. Lineage: Bacteria; Pseudomonadati; Pseudomonadota; Alphaproteobacteria; Sphingomonadales; Sphingomonadaceae. The record is from RNAcentral.
UAGAGUUUGAUCCUGGCUCAGAUUGAACGCUGGCGGCAUGCCUAACACGUGCAAGUCGAACGAAGGCUUCGGCCUUAGUGGCGCACGGGUGCGUAACGCGUGGGAAUCUGCCCUCAGGUUCGGAAUAACAGCGAGAAGCUGCUGCUAAUACCGGAUGAUAUCGCGAGAUCAAAGAUUUAUCGCCUGAGGAUGAGCCCGCGUAGGAUUAGCUAGUUGGUGUGGUAAAGGCGCACCAAGCCGACGAUCCAUAGCUGGUUUGAGAGGAUGACCAGCCACACUGGGACUGAGACACGGCCCAGACUCCUACGGGAGGCAGCAGUGGGGAAUCUUAGACAAUGGGGGAAACCCUGAUCUAGCCAUGCCGCGUGAUAGAUGAAGGCCUUAGGGUUGUAAAGAUCUUUCGCUGGGGAAGAUAAUGACUGUACCCAGUAAAGAAGCCCCGGCUAACUCCGUGCCAGCAGCCGCGGUAAUA